RNAcentral lists this ribosomal RNA (269 nucleotides) under Ambispora leptoticha. RNAcentral's name for it is "partial 18S ribosomal RNA". It matches the Rfam family "Eukaryotic small subunit ribosomal RNA", at positions 1509 to 1774 of the family's 1831-position model. Lineage: Eukaryota; Fungi; Glomeromycota; Glomeromycetes; Archaeosporales; Ambisporaceae. The record is from RNAcentral.
CACGCGCGCUAUACUGAUGAAGUCAACGARUUCAACAUCCUUGGCCGGAAGGUCUGGGUAAUCUUGUGAAACUUCAUCGUGCUGGGGAUAGAGCAUUGCAAUUAUUGCUCUUCAACGAGGAAUCCCUAGUAAGCGUGAGUCAUCAGCUCGCGUUGAUUACGUCCCUGCCCUUUGUACACACCGCCCGUCGCUACUACCGAUUGAACGGCUUAGUGAGACUCUCGGAUUGGCUUAUGGUAGCUGGCAACAGCUUGCCGUUGGCUGAGAAG